This is a long non-coding RNA of Entelurus aequoreus (snake pipefish), 1143 nucleotides long. RefSeq lists it as uncharacterized. The transcript is spliced from 3 exons. NCBI's taxonomy places the organism in Eukaryota, Metazoa, Chordata, Actinopteri, Syngnathiformes, Syngnathidae. The record is from RefSeq and is a predicted model, not a curated record.
UUUAGCUUUAUUUUAACAAAAAAUCUUACAAUACAAUAAACAUAUGUUUCCUAUUGCACUCGAAUAACACAUUUUAGAAGGUUAAAAUAUAAAUUAAAGGGCAUUAAACACAUUGUGUUUUUCUUGUUGCACAAUUCCAUAAUCAAGAAUUAGGUAAGAAUAAAGUUAAAAAGCUUCAUUAACAUAAAAUUAAAUGAUUUAUGGUUGCCAAUCCGGGUCUGUGCUUUAAGAACAAUACACACAGCUGAGCCAUGUAGCAGGUAAAACACACAUCUGUUAUGUUUAGUGUAUAAUAAAAAUAAUGACAUUUUUCAAAAUAUGUUAAAGGUUACACUUGCAUGGAAAUGGCCUAAAAACGUAUUUUAAAAAUCUGAUUCUUAUUAAAAAAACAAAACUUUUUUAAAAAAAAUUGCAAAUCAAUUUAGAAUGGGGUUGAAUUGGAAUCGCAAUUCAGAUGUGAAUGGAUUUGUUUUGUGCAUCCUCUACGAUUCAGCAUUAAUCGCGGCGAUGAGGUCAUUGUCAAGUGUAACACGUUUAAAGCGCGUGCACAGCUGGAAGAAACUGCGGGAUAACGACCACUUAUGUACUGCCAUCUUGUGGAGUCAAUAGAAAAAACCCUACACCAGGACGUCGCCUACAGCCACAGUUGGUAAUACCAAUGUUUUUCCAUCCUGGAGUUAAUUGGAGACCCGCAUGUACACUCAUGACCUCAUGACACGUUUUAAUUAUAGUGCCUUAUUUUAGACUUUGGUCAGCUUGCCAGGGUUCACAAAAUCCACGGUUUGGAUCUUGUCACGGUUUUUGGUUUUGUGCACAUUGUUGUUUUUGUCCUCGUCCCCGUUUCUCCUCGCCGUCUGCUUGUUCCUAUCCCGUCGUGCUCACCAGAGGACCUUCGCCCAUGUCAAUGGGAGGAUCCUUUGCGACCCUGGAAUCCGAGCGGGAGAAGCUCAUUUCCUUCAAACAUAUACGCUCUCUGACCUCUGACCCUUGGCGUUCGACCUCCCGCCAGAAGCGGGCUCCCGCAGGAAACGCUCCCCCGCCAGGAGCGGGGCGGCUCCGGGGCGACCUUUGACCCACCGCCGCCGCGGACAACAAUGGCCGCUUGCAAGGGACACGUCUGAAAGGACAUAUUGCAACAACACU